AUUGAACGCUGGCGGCAGGCCUAACACAUGCAAGUCGAACGAGUGGCGGACGGGUGAGUAAUGUCUGGGAAUCUGGCUGAUGGAGGGGGAUAACUACGGGAAACGGUAGCUAAUACCGCAUACCAUCGGAUGUGCCCAGGUGGGAUUAGCUAGUUGGUGGGGUAAAGGCUCACCAAGGCGACGAUCCCUAGCUGGUCUGAGAGGAUGACCAGCCACACUGGAACUGAGACACGGCCCAGACUCCUACGGGAGGCAGCAGUGGGGAAUAUUGCACAAUGGGCGCAAGCCUGACGCAGCCAUGCCGCGUGUAUGAAGAAGGCCUUCGGGUUGUAAAGUACUUUCAGUGGGGAGGCGUUACCCGCAGAAGAAGCACCGGCUAACUCCGUGCCAGCAGCCGCGGUAAUAC
This 406-nucleotide ribosomal RNA is filed under the name uncultured bacterium. Its description in RNAcentral is "partial 16S ribosomal RNA". It matches the Rfam family "Bacterial small subunit ribosomal RNA", at positions 30 to 526 of the family's 1533-position model. The record is from RNAcentral.